This 213-nucleotide microRNA precursor is filed under the name Oryza brachyantha (malo sina). RNAcentral describes it as "MIR812 microRNA precursor family". It matches the Rfam family "MIR812 microRNA precursor family". Lineage: Eukaryota; Viridiplantae; Streptophyta; Magnoliopsida; Poales; Poaceae. The record is from Rfam by way of RNAcentral.
AAUAAAGUUAUUUUUCAGUUUUUAGAUAUAAUGUUUUGAUUUUUCGUCUUAUUUGAAAUUUUUUUUGGGAUUAAUAAUUUUAUUGUUACUAGAUGAUAAAAUCUGAAUAGUAAUUUAUACGCGACUAAUGUUUUUAAGUUUUUAUACAAAUUUUUUAAUUAAUAAGACGAAUGAUCAAAACAUUGGACAUAGAAAUCGAAAAAUGAUAUUAUU